ACUUUCUCGAUGGUCCCGGGCAGCAGGCGCUCCAGCAGCCUGCAGAGGACCACCCCAUCCUUCAGAGACGCCUGCAGGAAGCCCUCCGGGUCCGAGAUGGUUUUCUUGGGCGACUCCAGCACCCCCAAGGAGCUGCAGGAGAGAGAAUGGUCCAGGGUCCUGUUCUCGAGGUGGAGGGGGAGAGGCAGAGCAGUAAACAGUUCCUUCAUGGAUUCUGCUGAAGUGCAUCUUGCGAUCAUAAUAAGAACCACAAGGACCGGUCCAGCUGCAACAUCGGUUCCAGUCGGGAAACCAUCUGUGGGGUCCUUGCCACAGGUAAUAUGGGCUCAGGUGAGCGCCCCAGGCACU
Molecule: long non-coding RNA, 348 nt
Organism: Globicephala melas (long-finned pilot whale)
Lineage: Eukaryota; Metazoa; Chordata; Mammalia; Artiodactyla; Delphinidae
Source: RefSeq, a predicted model, not a curated record